UACGUAGGGACCAAGCGUUGUUCGGAUUCAUUGGGCGUAAAGGGCGCGUAGGCGGCGGGGUAAGUCUGGUGUGAAAUCUCGGAGCUCAACUCCGAAAUUGCACUGGAUACUGCUCUGCUAGAGGGCUGGAGAGGAGAUCGGAAUUCACGGUGUAGCAGUGAAAUGCGUAGAUAUCGUGAGGAAGACCAGUGGCGAAGGCGGAUCUCUGGACAGCUCCUGACGCUGAGGCGCGAAGGCUAGGGGAGCAAACGGG
This 253-nucleotide ribosomal RNA is filed under the name uncultured bacterium. RNAcentral describes it as "partial 16S ribosomal RNA". It matches the Rfam family "Bacterial small subunit ribosomal RNA", at positions 524 to 776 of the family's 1533-position model. The record is from RNAcentral.